ACAACCGAAUUAUGUGUGACAACAAAGAGCACUAAAACCCACUCCUGAGAUAUUAGUGCGCCUGUAGAGGUUAUUAGGGUAAGCUAUGCUUUUAAUGGUUUUCAUAUACCUGAUUAAGUCAGGUUGAGUAUGGCAGGAUACUCUUAAAUGGAAAUCACCUAUGUGAGUGUGAAGGGGCCGCUUCUAUGAGAAUGAGUAAGGCUAAGUUCUCUAAAACACUUGCAGAACCAGGUGGUGUUCAGGGCCAAAAUGAACACAAAGUAAGAAAUAACAAUGUUCGAAAGGAAGCUGUGUAAUUUCUAUUGUCUUGAUUUACACGAACGGCUGAACAGUUCAAGGCAUCUCGUCCACUAGUUAGCCAAGUAAAUCCAAUAGUUUUUACUAAGGAAGGUUCAAGGCCAAAAGCUACCUAUCUCGAUGCAGUUACUUUCACUAGUACUCAAUGUCUUUCUCUAUGUCUGUAUUUGAAAUUUGUUUUCUUCAGCCAAUUCCAAUUCAUGUGGG
This 504-nucleotide long non-coding RNA is filed under the name Phoenix dactylifera (date palm). Its description in RNAcentral is "long non-coding RNA (PDAC_LNC022918)". The record is from RNAcentral. Lineage: Eukaryota; Viridiplantae; Streptophyta; Magnoliopsida; Arecales; Arecaceae.